UUUUAGUUAAAUACUUGAAGUAUAGACAUACUUAGAUAGAAUUAAUUAAUUAUAAAUAUAGAUAAAUUUCAACAAAAUUUAUAGAUGCCAUUAAUAUGAUUUGUGUGUGUUGAUCCAACCUGAGGUCUAAUUAAAGCUUUCCAUGUCAGAGUUUACGUUAGAAUUUAGAACACCCUCUAUAUUUUUGCUAUAUUAGACAUACUAAAUUUUAAACCCCAUAAGAGAAUAUGCAUAUACAUAUACAUACCGUAUCGGUUCCAGCAGGGCCUGGUGAAGAAGCGCCGAGGCUGGGAGUAGGGGCCUCAGUUGAUGGAGACGGUGGGCUGGAGGCCGAAGGUGAUAGCGCUGGAGACUUAGCUUUGGUCUUGCUAGGGGCCGGAGCUGGAACCGUGGCAGGAGGAGAAGCCAAAGGAGCUGGUGGUGGGGUAGCUGGAGGAGGAGUAGCAGGAGGGGGAGAAGCAGGUGGUGGGGUAGCCUGAGGUGGAGAAGCCGGUGGGGGAGUUGCGGGAGGUGGGGUAGCUGGGGGAGGAGUAGCCGGUGGAGGAGAAGCUGGUGGUGGGGAGCUAACGGGCGGGGGAGUCGCUGGAGGAGGAGUGGAAACUGGUGGUGGAGAAGCUGUCACUGGAGGUGGUGAUGAUGUAGGAGGAGGAGUGGAAGCUGGUGGCGGAGAAGUAGUUGUGGGUGUUGGAGGUGGUUGGGUAGUAGGCGGAGGUGUGGAAGCGGGUGGGGUCGGCGGCACCGGCGUGGAUGUCGGAGGAUUACUAGGAGUAGGAGGAGCUUGGCCUAAAGCGCCAGCUACAGCAAUGCAAAACAAAGCUGAUAAGAACAAAAACUUGUUAUUAAGCAUCAUGUUGGAAACAAUGGUGACCCUUUAAUCCUGCACACCCUCUCCGCUUAAACUACGCCCAGCCGCGCAAGCAAAAGAGGGAGAAGAAUAGCAA
Molecule: long non-coding RNA, 941 nt
Filed under: Gossypium barbadense (sea-island cotton)
Lineage: Eukaryota; Viridiplantae; Streptophyta; Magnoliopsida; Malvales; Malvaceae
Description: long non-coding RNA (GBAR_LNC022176)
Source: RNAcentral